Non-coding RNA from Benincasa hispida (wax gourd), 2438 nucleotides. NCBI's taxonomy places the organism in Eukaryota, Viridiplantae, Streptophyta, Magnoliopsida, Cucurbitales, Cucurbitaceae. The record is from RefSeq and is a predicted model, not a curated record.
UUAAGUUGUUAUUAUUAUUAUUAUCUUUUAUUAAAAAAAAAAUCCCUCUCUCUUCCUCACAUCGCCUGAAACCCCACCCUCGCGUGCCGCCAGCCGCCCAGCUACCGAUCUGCUCUCAAAUCAUGUCGUUCGCCGUUCAGGGGUUUCGGCCGACCAGAUCUCGCCAGUCACCCCACGCCGCUCACCGUCGCGUCGCCCCUUCCAGUUGAUCACUCCGUCCAACCGAGCCGCUCGUCCAAAUCCCCUCUACUCGUGCGUCCGCCGCCCCAGCCGCGAAGUUGCCUCGCGCCACCGCCUCUCCCUGCGUCGUCUGCUCGAGCCACGCCAUGCCUCCAGUUGCACGCCACCAUUCGUUCAAAUCUGCCUGCGCUGUUCCGAUUCGCCCUUACAGCCAUUGUCCGCCGGCGUAGCAGCUACUAGUUAUCGGUUCAUCCUUCUCCGCUGCCUUUCCGUGGGGUUUUCGUCGGAAACUUGUAAUCUGGGCUUGGAUUGAGCUUUCGAGGUGUCAGGAACCACUGUCCAGUAAGAUUAGAGUUUGGCUUUAGGGAAUUUUGGAGCGUGAAUGGUAGGUAAUGUGAACUUGGAGCUCUUUGGAAUGGAUUAAUAUGCUGGAAAUUUGGUUUUAAAUUCCUAAUUUUGGGUUAUGAAUAGAUUGGUAUCUCUAUGCUAAGCUUGGAACAAAUUUAUGGAUUAUCACAUAUUUUGGGUAAGAUGUUUUGUGGCGUUUGAGGUAUUUUUGUAUUUGGAAUUUAGUUCUAAAUGUCGGACUUAAUUUUUAUUUUUGAUUUAGGGUGUGAUUCGAGAAUUUUACUAAGUUAAAGGAGGGUGUGGAUUACUUUUUGUUAGAUUUGUCAUCAAGGUAAAGGUAGAGAUGCACUGGUGAUUGACAAACAGAAUCCGUGAUCGAGCCACUGGGACCAGUUUUAUGCUUCCGCUCAUGAGAUUUAGAUUUCUUUUCAUGUUUUGCUUAACUUUCAGUUUUGAUGUUUGAAAUUUAUUAUAAAGAAUUGUUUUUCGACUCAUUUAUCAACAUUUAUGAUUUAUGGGUGCCUUAUUGUUUGUUUUUAAUAUUUAAAUUUAAUGAAGGACUUUUGAACUUACAUUAUUUAUUUAGCAUUUAUUUCACAAAAAAAAAAUGGCGUCGUUUUAAGUUCCAUGCAUGCAUGUAUUUAGUAACGGUCUAACUUGAGUGCUAGGAGGUCGGGUCAUUACAUCACAUCAAUUAGCACUCUCCAUCCACUUAGGCUUAGAAUAAAAUAAAACCUCGUGAAGCUCACUAUAUUUUUAGUCUUUCAUGUCUAAUUUCCUUUGGAUUAUGCCAUUGAGACUCGUUCUUUUAUGGUGGUAAUUUUUGAAUGAUGGUUCACUUUACUGAACGCAUGUCGUCUGGUGAAAGACAUCGUGAUUCUUGUAGAUAGAGGUCGACUAAUAAAAGAUGGACUUGGAUUUCUUGUGGAAAAGUCAUUGGUUGGCCCUUUUGUAGGUCGUGGGCCAAGUUUAGAUGACAACAUGAUUCUUCCUAAAUUAUCAACAAAAGUGCCUUUGACUCAGGGGAAAAACGUGUGGAUCUUACAAUCUUCUAUUCACGAUGAGGCCCCUAAUCCUGAUCAAGUUUUAACUCUCGAACUUUGUAUAAAUGAGGGUCAGACUUGCUAGAACGUCAUAAUGAAUGUCCUUGGGGAAUUUAGCUUUACUGAUUUCUACUGGGAGUGGCUUGAGUUCGUAGUAGAUUGAAACGAGUGAUUCCUUUAUGAUGUUUGUUUAUUUGGUGCAAUGGUGGCUUUUCUGCACAUAUAUGAUCGUAAUAGUGAUGUAGUUCAAGCCUUUUGCUAGGCUUGGUGUCUUAUUGACUUUGAUCUUAGUUUAUUGUUAGCUUGAUCUCAGUGUUCCAUUGGCUUCGAUCUCAGUCUGCAACCUGAGGAUUCCAUCAACUUUGGCUUAAGUUCUUGAGUUGAGUGUUCCGUCGACUUCGAGCUUAGUGUUUUAUCGGCUUUGAUUCCAGUGUUCUAGUGACUUUGACCUUGGUGUUCUACUAGCUUUGAUCUCAGAUGAUGUAGAGCUAGAAAAGACCAAACCUGAUCUCGUAGGUAAGGCGAAGUUAGGCAAACCAGUUACAGAGCUAGGUAAACCGAACUUGCUCAUGCAGUUAAGUGAAGCACGAUAAAUCAAAUUUGAUCAUGCAGAUGAGGCAAAGCCAGACAACCAGACUUGAUCUCAAAGAUAAGAAAGUGGAGGAUCUCAUAUUGAAGGGAACCAUGAGCGGAAGCAAGAUCAACCCAUUUCCCUUUUUCAUUGAAUGUAUUCAAACAGAAUACGAACACAACCACAAUGGUUUCCUCGGUAUUCUCAGGUAGAUAACCCAGGAGUGAUGGGCUCUGACUAUUUUGGAAUGAGGAAAAUUAGAUGAGCGUAGAGGAAGAAGUUUGUAGAUCGUUUAC